CCUACGGGAGGCAGCAGUAGGGAAUCUUUCACAAUGGGCGAAAGCCUGAUGGAGCAACGCCGCGUGCAGGAUGAAGGCCUUCGGGUUGUAAACUGCUUUUAUAAGCGAGAAAUAUGAUGGUAACUUAUGAAUAAGGAUCGGCUAACUACGUGCCAGCAGCCGCGGUCAUACGCAGGAUCCGAGCAUUAUCCGGAGUGACUGGGUGUAAAGAGUUGCGUAGGUGGCAUAAUAAGUAGCUAGUGAAAUCUGGUGGCUCAACCAUUCAGACUAUUAGCUAAACUGUUAAGCUCGAGACCGUUAGGGGUAACUGGAAUUUCUAGUGUAGGAGUGAAAUCCGUAGAUAUUAGAAGGAACACCAAUAGCGUAGGCAGGUUGCUGGGACGGUUCUGACACUAAGGCACGAAAGCGUAGGGAGCAAACGGGAUUAGAUACCCCUGUAGUC
RNAcentral lists this ribosomal RNA (442 nucleotides) under uncultured bacterium. Its description in RNAcentral is "partial 16S ribosomal RNA". It matches the Rfam family "Bacterial small subunit ribosomal RNA", at positions 338 to 795 of the family's 1533-position model. The record is from RNAcentral.